GAUGAACGCUGGCGGCGUGCCUAAUACAUGCAAGUCGAGCGAACAGACGAGGAGCUUGCUCCUCUGACGUUAGCGGCGGACGGGUGAGUAACACGUGGAUAACCUACCUAUAAGACUGGGAUAACUUCGGGACACCGGAGCUAAUACCGGAUAAUAUAUUGAACCGCAUGGUUCAAUAGUGAAAGACGGUUUUGCUGUCACUUAUAGAUGGAUCCGCGCCGCAUUAGCUAGUUGGUAAGGUAACGGCUUACCAAGGCAACGAUGCGUAGCCGACCUGAGAGGGUGAUCGGCCACACUGGAACUGAGACACGGUCCAGACGCCUACGGGAGGCAGCAGUAGGGAAUCUUCCGCAAUGGGCGAAAGCCUGACGGAGCAGCGCCGCGUGAGUGAUGAAGGUCUUCGGAUCGUAAAACUCGGUUAUUAGGGAAGAACAAAUGUGUAAGUAACUAUGCACGUCUUGACGGUACCUAAUCAGAAAGCCACGGCUAACUACGUG
RNAcentral lists this ribosomal RNA (497 nucleotides) under uncultured bacterium. RNAcentral's name for it is "partial 16S ribosomal RNA". It matches the Rfam family "Bacterial small subunit ribosomal RNA", at positions 28 to 507 of the family's 1533-position model. The record is from RNAcentral.